UUCCCUCAGUAGCGGCGAGCGAACAGGGAAGAGCCCAGCACUGAAUCUCGCGGGUUUACGCUCGCCGAGAAAUGUAGUGUUAGGGAGGGUCCGAUUAUCCCGAGGUUGUUGCGGCGCGUCCAAGUCCAUCUUGAAUGGGGCCACGGCCCGUAGAGGGUGCCAGGCCCGUAGGACCGUUGCUGAUCUCGGGAGGACCUCUCCUUAGAGUCGGGUUGC
Molecule: ribosomal RNA, 216 nt
Filed under: Euhadenoecus insolitus
Lineage: Eukaryota; Metazoa; Arthropoda; Insecta; Orthoptera; Rhaphidophoridae
Description: partial 28S ribosomal RNA
Rfam family: Eukaryotic large subunit ribosomal RNA
Source: RNAcentral